This 460-nucleotide ribosomal RNA is filed under the name uncultured bacterium. RNAcentral's name for it is "partial 16S ribosomal RNA". It matches the Rfam family "Bacterial small subunit ribosomal RNA", at positions 338 to 795 of the family's 1533-position model. The record is from RNAcentral.
CCUACGGGAGGCUGCAGUGAGGAAUAUUGGUCAAUGGACGAGAGUCUGAACCAGCCAAGUAGCGUGAAGGAUGACUGCCCUAUGGGUUGUAAACUUCUUUUAUAUGGGAAUAAAAUGUUCCACGUGUGGGAUUUUGUAUGUACCAUAUGAAUAAGGAUCGGCUAACUCCGUGCCAGCAGCCGCGGUAAUACGGAGGAUCCGAGCGUUAUCCGGAUUUAUUGGGUUUAAAGGGAGCGUAGGUGGAUUGUUAAGUCAGUUGUGAAAGUUUGCGGCUCAACCGGAAAAUUGCAGUUGAAACUGGUAUUCUUGAGUACAGUAGAGGUUGGCGGAAUUCGGGGUGUAGCGGUGAAAUGCUUAGAUAUUCCGAAGAACUCCGAUGGCGAAGGCAGUUCACUGGACUGAAACUGACACUGAGGCUCGAAAGUGUGGGUAGCAAACAGGAUUAGAUACCCUAGUAGUC